UGGGCCAUGGCUCCUGGAAUGGGCUAUGGCUGAAAUCUACAUGGCCCCAGGAUGGGACUGCGGCCGAUCAGGUUGUUGGUGGGGUAAUGGCCCACCAAGCCUAUAACCGGUGCGGGCUCUGAGAGGAGGAGCCCGGAGAUGGGCACUGAGACAAGGGCCCAGGUCCUAUGGGGCGCAGCAGGCGCGAAACCUCCGCAAUGGGUGAAAGCCCGACGGGGUCAGUCCGAGUGGUUCCCGCUGAGGGAACCUUUUGCCAGCUGUAAACAGGCUGGCGAAUAAGGGGUGGGCAAGUUUGGUGUCAGCCGCCGCGGUAAUACCAGCACCCCGAGUGGUCGGGACGAUUAUUGGGCCUAAAGCAUCCGUAGCCGGCCCAGUAAGUCCUCCGUUAAAUCCAACGGCUCAACCGUUGGGCUGCGGGGGAUACUGCUGGGCUAGGGGACGGGAGAGGCGAGGGGUAUUCCCGGGGUAGGGGUAAAAUCCACUGAUCCCGGGAGGACCACCAGUGGCGAAGGCGCCUCGCUAGAACGUGCCCGACGGUGAGGGAUGAAAGCUGGGGGAGCGAACCGGAUUAGAUACCCGGGUAGUCCCAGCCGUAAACGAUGUAGGCUCGGUGUUGGGCUGCCUCAGU
RNAcentral lists this ribosomal RNA (628 nucleotides) under uncultured archaeon. RNAcentral describes it as "bacterial SSU rRNA". It matches the Rfam family "Archaeal small subunit ribosomal RNA", at positions 156 to 788 of the family's 1478-position model. The record is from RNAcentral.